GGCGGAGGGAAGCUCAUCGUUGGGGCCACAAGCUGAGUGCGCUACGUCACUCCCCGACCCAGCCCUUGGGAAGGUCUGAGACAAGGGCCAUUAGCGGCCCUAGCAGGGCCCCUCCCGCGAUCGUGGGGGGGUGAGUUCCCAGAGAAUGGGCCCCGGCUCGGGGGUAGACUGGGCAGGAGAAGCCCCUGCGGGCUCCACCCCCCGUGGGUGGCCGGGGCGGAUGCCUCCCCCGACCGGGCUUGGAAACGACUCACGGCCGGCGAAGUGAGUGCAAUGGCUGAGGUGGGCCACCUGGCGGGGCCCAUAACCCAAUUCAGACUACUCUCCCACGCC
RNAcentral lists this RNase P RNA (333 nucleotides) under Notamacropus eugenii (tammar wallaby). RNAcentral's name for it is "Nuclear RNase P (ENSMEUG00000018240.1)". It matches the Rfam family "Nuclear RNase P". Rfam says of the family: Ribonuclease P (RNase P) is a ubiquitous endoribonuclease, found in archaea, bacteria and eukarya as well as chloroplasts and mitochondria. Lineage: Eukaryota; Metazoa; Chordata; Mammalia; Diprotodontia; Macropodidae. The record is from RNAcentral.